This 141-nucleotide unclassified non-coding RNA is filed under the name uncultured fungus. RNAcentral's name for it is "sequence contains ITS1". The record is from RNAcentral. Lineage: Eukaryota; Fungi.
AUCACAAGGUUCCAUCUAUUUUGACAAACAAAGACAAGCGUGAAAAAAGGCAACUCCACUCAUGAGCGAAUUCCCCUCAUGAGCGAAUUGCCCCCUCAUGUCCCCAUGUUAAUGAUCCUUCCGCAGGUUCACCUACGGAAA